GGCUUACUAGGUCACAAAAAAAUCCCCAAUCCUCGCGUCCACCACUCAUCCCCAUGACUCCAUCGACGUGCUCCCCCGGUUCCCCCGCCCCCGCCGCCGCACCGCACACCAUCCAGGUCCCCGCCGCCGUGCUGCCCCAUCCAGCCCCACAUCACCACACCACGCCCCCAUCCAAGCCGAGUCCGCCGUGGGCACAUCCCCAUCGAGGGGGCCUCACCUUCAUCCCCACCUGUGACGGCCGCCUCCAUCCACUGCUCCGGGAGGAACGCUACACAUGAAGUCGGAGCUCCGUCUGUUAACCCCGCCUGCUCCUCCUAGGCUAGGACGCCACUGUGGCUGAGGCAGACGACUCUACUCGGCCCUAUCUACAUCAACGUGCUUCGUAAACGAGAGACUAUAUACGAUAUGCUAAUGGUAAGGGGACCGGGUUAUAGCAGAAUGGAGGGUGGAGCAGCUAGAUUCUUUCCAGUCUGGUUAGAAAUACUUUGUACCUUGCAUUAAAUUACAUUUUUCUUGCUGAACUGAAAUUCAGUUACUUUCUUUUAGUGAACAGCUAUGCAUACAUUUCUACUUGGUUAAUUAUUGGUGCUAUUUGACUAUGUCGCUGUGACAGAAACCGGUAAUUACUGCACGGCUUGAGAUCAUCUUGUACCUGGUGGCGCAUGCAGAUGGUGCAGCAUUGCUGCAUGGAGGAUCUUUGGAUUUUUAUUUUUUUCCCUUCAGUUCUUAGUUUUCUGCUCCUGCUUCUAUCUGUGCUGUCAAAUUGCUUUCUAAAGAAUACAUUUCAGCACUAAGAUUCACAGGUAGUUGGUUCCAUGACAGAGUAUCCUAACACAUCCUAUUCUCCCCUAUCGGUUUUUAUAACCAAUUAUGCCUCUUCUACACUGUAAUGAGUGGUAGACCAUAAAUUAAAGAUCUGAGUUAAGACUGAAGAUUGCUAACACCCUAAUCAAAAUGGAGGAGAUGUUCUGUUAAUUGUUGCUUGCAUCUUCUUCUAUCGGUUGUGUUUUUUACAGAUUGUGUGAAUUGAAAAUCUAAUUCAGUUUUUGCUAGAGUGAAUAAGAUUUCAUAUUUUCCUUACGAGAGAGAGGAUAAGAUUCAGUUUGUUCCAAAAUAUAUUAAUCUCCUGGCAAUGCAACACAAAAUGACAAUCAUUUCUUCAAGUGCAUAAUAUUCUAAUGUUCUUUUUGUAGAACAUUAUUAUUAACUAUUUGUGAUAUCAUGCAUGAACUCCAGUACACGACCACCUCAAUUUUUUCAUCCUCUGCAACUGUGACCAGCUGUGUACUGGAGAGGCUGCAGAAUAUCAUGGAAGCAGUACAUGGAGCUGAUUGCACCAAGCACUCUGCCAUGGUCAUGAUCAGGACGAGAUGUAGGGCUAGCGACAGAGCAUGGAUGCAAAUUAUUGCUCUAUCCCAACAAUUGGUUGGAUCUCCCACUUGAUUGAAGGUAAUUCUCUGUCGUGGUUAUUUUAUGUCAAUGGUAAGUUUGUUUGGUACGGAAGAAAAAAAUGACGAUUAAGAGAUUCAUUAUAGUGUUGACUAAAUUAAGAAUCACAAAUAUAUCAUACUAAGAGUAUAUUUGCCUAUGUUGUUGUCAGGCAUUCAGAAGAAGCGGUAGCAAAGAUGUUUCCCUUCAUUCUUUUAUCUGUGCAGUGGUGUACACACACACACAAACACAUUAAGAGAUAUGCUCUCACAAAAGUUGUUUCAUGCCACCUCUUUGUCAUUUGGAAUUUCAUACUUGAUUGUAAUAUCAUUUGGCUUGUUGCUUCAUAAUGUGGUAUGUGAAACAAACUAUAAUAUCAUUUGGCUCUCAUAUAACUUUUUGUAUAAUUUUAGGUAUCAUGGCAAAGGACUGGGAUUGAUUUGUGUUGUCAAUGCACACAUUUGGUUAGUCAGCCACUAAGAUGUGUCUAUUGCCUCCCUGGCAGAGUUUGUAAGAACUGAGGCUCAUUCCGUUUCUAUUGAGUCAUGUGUAGCUAGCUAGUAUGUAGAUCCAUUCAUGUUGUGUUCUUGCCUCAUGAUGUUCUUAAUAAUACCAGAGAAUCUACAGCUUAUUAUGUUCACAUGAUAUUUUUGUAUGAUUCUAAUUUGUUUCUCUAA
This is a non-coding RNA of Oryza sativa Japonica Group (Japanese rice), 2105 nucleotides long. NCBI's taxonomy places the organism in Eukaryota, Viridiplantae, Streptophyta, Magnoliopsida, Poales, Poaceae. The record is from RefSeq and is a predicted model, not a curated record.